UACGUAGGGGGCAAGCGUUGUCCGGAAUCAUUGGGCGUAAAGCGCGUGUAGGCGGUCCGGUAAGUCCGCUGUGAAAGUCGAGGGCUCAACCCUCGAAUGCCGGUGGAUACUGUCGGGCUUGAGUACGGGAGAGGCGAGUGGAAUUCCUGGUGUAGCGGUGAAAUGCGCAGAUAUCAGGAGGAACACCGAUUGCGAAGGCAGCUCGCUGGAACGUUACUGACGCUGAGACGCGAAAGCGUGGGGAGCAAACAGG
Molecule: ribosomal RNA, 253 nt
Filed under: uncultured bacterium
Lineage: Bacteria
Description: partial 16S ribosomal RNA
Rfam family: Bacterial small subunit ribosomal RNA
Source: RNAcentral